AAAAGUUCAAGAAAUGUUAGUCACAGCGAAAAACCUUUUCAAAGUCCGCUGUGAGAUUUUCCGAUUUUUCCCAGCUGCAGCCAAUAUUGCAGUCAACCUCUGAGAAUUGUGCUGUUCGUCAACAGAAACUGAAAAUGUACAAAAGAGAAUCCAUGUUGUUUAUUGUGUUGUCGGUGUUGUUGUUCUUGAUAAAUCCCGUCGACCUGACGACAGUACCAUCUACAAAGUGCACUCUGAAAGCCGACGCAUGCGCUAUAGAUAAAACAUGUUCUAUUGCAUGGUAUAACUGUCAAUGUUCACCCUACACAAUAAUCGAUUUCGAUGUGUUUUGUUUGACGUCCGGGCUGGCUUUAGGGAUGGUGCCUUCUUGCUGUGAGGAUUAACAACGGAAGCAAUCCAAAGAGCUGAAAGUAUGGCUUCCAAACGUUUCUCUCAAGUAUCAUUAUACAAUGAUUUCAAAAACAUCUUUCUUUUUUUGACCCUCUUAAAGAAGUGGGUAGAAUAGCUUCGAGCUUUUAUUUCCUGCCGUCUUAACAACAAUACGAUAUUGUAGUUGAUUCUAGUAAAAAUAAAAACAAAAUUGCUAAUGGU
Octopus bimaculoides (California two-spot octopus) is the source of this 591-nucleotide long non-coding RNA. RefSeq lists it as uncharacterized. NCBI's taxonomy places the organism in Eukaryota, Metazoa, Mollusca, Cephalopoda, Octopoda, Octopodidae. The record is from RefSeq and is a predicted model, not a curated record.